This 449-nucleotide ribosomal RNA is filed under the name uncultured bacterium. RNAcentral's name for it is "partial 16S ribosomal RNA". It matches the Rfam family "Bacterial small subunit ribosomal RNA", at positions 29 to 523 of the family's 1533-position model. The record is from RNAcentral.
AACGAACGCUGGCGGCAUGCCUAACACAUGCAAGUCGAACGAGAUCUUCGGGUCUAGUGGCGCACGGGUGCGUAACGCGUGGGAAUCUGCCCUUUGGUUCGGAAUAACAGUUGGAAACGACUGCUAAUACCGGAUGAUGACGAAAGUCCAAAGAUUUAUCGCCAGAGGAUGAGCCCGCGUAGGAUUAGCUAGUUGGUGUGGUAAAGGCGAACCAAGGCGACGAUCCUUAGCUGGUCUGAGAGGGUGAUCAGCCAUACUGGGACUGAGACACGGCCCCGACUCCUCCGGGGGGCAGCAGUGGGGAAUAUUGGACAAUGGGCGAAAGCCUGAUCCAGCAAUGCCGCGUGAGUGAUGAAGGCCUUAGGGUUGUAAAGCUCUUUUACCCGGGAUGAUAAUGACAGUACCGGGAGAAUAAGCUCCGGCUAACUCCGUGCCAGCCGCCGCUGUAA